GAAAAGCCCCCCGGCCCAACCGGGGAGGGUCAUUGGAAACUGGGGAACUUGAGUGCACAAGAGGAGAGUGGAAUUCCACGUGUAGCGGUGAAAUGCGUAGAGAUGUGGAGGAACACCAGUGGCGAAGGCGACUCUCUGGUCUGUAACUGACGCUGAGGAGCGAAAGCGUGGGGAGCGAACAGGAUUAGAUACCCUGGUAGUCCACGCCGUAAACGAUGAGUGCUAAGUGUUAGGGGGUUUCCGCCCCUUAGUGCUGCAGCUAACGCAUUAAGCACUCCGCCUGGGGAGUACGGUCGCAAGACUGAAACUCAAAGGAAUUGACGGGGGCCCGCACAAGCGGUGGAGCAUGUGGUUUAAUUCGAAGCAACGCGAAGAACCUUACCAGGUCUUGACAUCCUCUGACAAUCCUAGAGAUAGGACGUCCCCUUCGGGGGCAGAGUGACAGGUGGUGCAUGGUUGUCGUCAGCUCGUGUCGUGAGAUGUUGGGUUAAGUCCCGCAACGAGCGCAACCCUUGAUCUUAGUUGCCAGCAUUCAGUUGGGCACUCUAAGGUGACUGCCGGUGACAAACCGG
This 572-nucleotide ribosomal RNA is filed under the name Bacillus mojavensis. RNAcentral's name for it is "bacterial SSU rRNA". It matches the Rfam family "Bacterial small subunit ribosomal RNA", at positions 594 to 1166 of the family's 1533-position model. Lineage: Bacteria; Bacillati; Bacillota; Bacilli; Caryophanales; Bacillaceae. The record is from RNAcentral.